CUGUCUUACUCAUUCAAAUUCAAAUUGUCUGUGAGCAUGAAUUUUCGUGGCCAUGGGACAAAAAACCCUGUCUUCAGCCGAACUAAGGAAAAGUCCCGCAGCAGUUCCUCCUUAGGGACUCUUCGAACGCACUGUCUUAGCCCAGGCUGCCUUAACAAAAUACCAUGGACAAGGUGGCUUGAAAAACACACAUGUAUUUUCCCACAGUUCUGGAGGCUGGAAGUUGGAGAUCAGGGUGUCAGCAUAUUCGAGUUCUGUGGAGGGAGAGAUCGCUUCCUGGCUUGUAGACAGUCACCUUCUCAAAAUGUCCUCACAGGGCCCUUCCUCUGUGUGCAUGCGGAGAGAUCGCUGGUCUUUCUCUUCUUAUAAAGACAAUGGGCCUACUGGGUUAAGGCCCCACCAUUAUGAUCUCACUUCACGUUUAUUACCUCCAUACAGGCCCCAUCUCCAAAUACGGUCACGCUGGGAUUUGCCCAACAUAAUGAAUUGGAGGGGAGCGGUGGGGCACGAUUCAGUCCACUGCACACCGUUCUCCUCUCCAGACCUCUCACUGGCAAGUCCUUUCAUCUCAAUUUCAGUUCUGUGAGGCCGUCCUACUAUUGUCUAUCACCCUGUUUGAUUUUUUUGUAGCCUCAUCAUUUAUUCAUUACAGUUUCUUAAGUUCUUUUUUUUAGGGAGCUUGUCAUUGCCUAGAAGAGUGCUGGGCACACAAUAGUGAUACUGAAUAUACAACUAAAAUCAUGUAAUAUAGCACAUGAGAUUCUUAAUGCUAAAAUUAAGACUUUUUAACAUGAAAAAUGCUCUUAAGGGCAGAAAUGAAGCAAAUUUCAGGCAAGAUGGCAGACAAGACUGAAACGGAUUCAUCCAUCAACUGCUACAGACUUAAAAAACAAAAUAUGCCCAAUGCAAAGCUGAGCUCAGGAAAUCCUCAGAUGCUAGAGAUAAAGACAAAAUCCAGUUGCAGAAGUGAGUUCCAGGUGAUGCCAGGAGACCCCAGGAAGUAUCAGAUUAGGUCACAAAACUAGGAAUAAGGUUUUAAUGUCUUCAGAAAAACAGAGCAUUUGGUGAGAGAAGGGAACUAAUCCGAGACUCCCGCAUACAACCAGGACACUUGAAGGGCUGCCUCACCUGUGAAAAAGAAACUGGAAAAAUCUCUUCAAAUCUGUCUGUGGAAACAGAAAGACAGCCUGGUGUUUGACAAAGCUCUCGGUGGGACAAACCUCCUCUGAGAAAUGGAAACCUAGGAAAUCAAAAGCCCAGAAAUUAAGGGAAAGCAUUAGUCUCAGAUAAUGAAAAGGAAACCCUUGGGGCCCGGGCCAAAGCAAAUGUAAAAACAUGAACACUUGCAUAAUCUCGUACAUGGGACUCACAGAAAAUGCAACCCCUAAUAUAGAUGAGCUCGCAAUGAAAAAUUAUCCACCACUGUGGCAAUGCAGUCACCAAAAGGAAGACUCAACAGACCAAUGAGCAUAGACACGAGCUGUGGAGGUAACAACUGGAAACAGAAGAAUAAAAUCUCAAGAUAAAUAAUUUAAAAAUACUUAACAUGGAAAAAUAUUUCACUUAAAAAAUAUAACUUUUAGAAAAAAUAUAGUAUCAUUAACUUAAAAAUUCAGUAGCUAGGUUGAACAAUAAAUUCACCACAAAUGAAAAGAGAAUUAGAGAUCUGGAUCACGGAGCUGGAAGAUGAAUGCAGAGGCAGCACAGGGAGGUAAAGCAAUGGAAAAGAUCGCAGGGAGUCCCAAGACCCGGGAUGCUCCCUCGAGUCACUCACAGGAGCUCCAGAGGAAAGGACAGAUCAUGGGGAAAGGCAAUAUUUGAAGCAACAAUGACUGGGAAUUUUUCAUAAUUAAGAAAGAUGUAAAUAUUCAGAGGGAAAAUGCAGAUCUAGACACUUUUCAGAAACACUAUGAAACUCCAAAGUCAAGGAAAAGAUUAAAAGCAACUAGAAACAAAAGACAGUUUACAAUAAAAGAUCCAAAUUAGAUGGAAAUUACAUGUCUCAUUAAUAAAAUAGAGGUCAGAGAAAAGGGUAAAAAAUGUUCAACAUGCUCAAAGAACAAAAGUUAUUCAUCUACAAUACAACUUAGUAAAAUUAUCAUUCAAAAAUAAAGACAAAUCAAAUGUAUUUGACUAAGACUGAAGGGUAUUUUUUUAACCCCUGGAUCAUCAACUUUACCAAAGGAUAAAAUUUAUUAAAAAUAUGAUCAGCUUGUCGAAAGAAUGAAUCAAUGACACUCUGUCUUCGUGGAGAGCAGCCUGGGUGUGGAAUCAGGCACCCCCGGGUUCAAAGCCAUCACUGGCGAACUCACAAAGAGUGGGACUCACCGACCUGAGGGUUUGCCAGCACACUCGUAGCCCGCGGGACUAGAGUAUUUGUGAGAGAGGAGUGUGGUCUUUUGAUUGAAGAACAGAAGUCAUUCGUGAAGGACACAGCACACACAGCCCAGAGAGCUCGCAGGUUAAAACUGCACAUGGAGCAAUGUCUGCCAGCCAUUCAGGGUACUUCAAAAUAGGUCAGAAUACGUUUCCAGAAAGUGACACCUUCUUUUUGGGUUUGCGUAUAAUAAUAAAUCUAGGGGAUAAGAACAUAAAAGACUGGAAACUUCUUUUGUAUUACAAUAAUGUACUUCUAAAUGCAUUUUGGGUACAGACAAUUCCAUGUUUAUGCAAUGACUGUAGAUACAUAUAUAAGCUGAUUAAAUAACAGGAUGUAAAAUUUAUUGAUAAUCACAUUUAUCAACUAAACCUUGACAAGUUUUUAAUGAAAAAUUAUUAUCUGUGUAGUAGAAUCUCUGCUUUCAUAGUUUACCCGUAGGCCACUCAUCUAAGUGUGCCUUUUUUUCUCUCUCUCUUUUUUUUUUUUUUACAGCAAACACAGUAUUCACAAUCAAGUUAUUUAGACCUUUUAGAUUGUAUACAAAUGACAUAGAAAAAUGUACAGCCAGUCCACUGGGUUGUAAUUUUAGAAACAAACAUCUCAAGUCAUAAUAAUAAAGUAGAGUUUUAAAAAGUUACUAGGUUUUCUUUAUUUGCCAUAAGAAAGACUGAACUUCUUAGUAUGUAGUUUGAAGAGUAUUUUCUUUAACUCAUUGAAGCCUACAGA
Molecule: long non-coding RNA, 3106 nt
Filed under: Homo sapiens (human)
Lineage: Eukaryota; Metazoa; Chordata; Mammalia; Primates; Hominidae
Description: HSALNT0338237
Source: RNAcentral